UGAGCAAAAUAUCGAACCACAGCUUCCCUGU
Molecule: non-coding RNA, 31 nt
Filed under: Mus musculus (house mouse)
Lineage: Eukaryota; Metazoa; Chordata; Mammalia; Rodentia; Muridae
Source: RNAcentral